RNAcentral lists this long non-coding RNA (477 nucleotides) under Homo sapiens (human). Its description in RNAcentral is "non-protein coding lnc-FTCDNL1-4:30". The record is from RNAcentral. Lineage: Eukaryota; Metazoa; Chordata; Mammalia; Primates; Hominidae.
CAGCCCUGUAGGAGACACCUCCAGAGAAAGUAACAGCUCUCAAUUGAUUAGCUGAGCCAGAAUUAGCUUCUGUUACUUACAACUGUGAGUCCUGACUGAAAACAUAUUUCUUCCUUUGAAGAACUGUUACCUGUAACAGGCUAAGAAGAAUAUUAAGAAUAAACAGAUGCUUUUACAGCUCGCCUUGGCGGGAAGAUCUGGCACAAAUGAAGUAUCUAUAAGGAGCAGCAGAGUCAAGGUGGUGAUCCUGUGGAUGAAUAACUGAAACCUGAUAUACUUGACAGCAGAAAAUAUAAAGCAAAUUGAAAAGGAGAGAGUGUGGAGAUAAAUAAGAAAAUGAAAGAACUGAUAAAGUCACUUGGAUUAAAAAACCUGGGAGUAAGGGCUUUGUUUAUGAUUGAACUUAAGAGAGAAUUGAGGGACCACCUACCUUUGAUGUUAACGAGAAAGUAAAGAGGAAACAUAUUUAGAGAUACC